Non-coding RNA from Xyrichtys novacula (pearly razorfish), 583 nucleotides. NCBI's taxonomy places the organism in Eukaryota, Metazoa, Chordata, Actinopteri, Labriformes, Labridae. The record is from the annotation of a GenBank genome assembly.
UGAAAGGCUACUCGGCAGGCAGAACCAGAACCCAGACAUCAGAACCACACAGCCAUCGUCAUGGUUUAGCAAUAAAGAUGCAUGCAGCCCCGUGCAAACCAGCAAACCCAAGUACUUCAAGAAAAUGAUCACUGUUAAGAACGCGAGAGUAAGAAACGCCUUUUUCUUUGCCUGAUCGACCCGUUUCCUGUCCCCGAGUGCGUCCCCCGGCCCGGGGCGAAUGAGUGCGACGAGAACUGAGUGGCUGCAGUAGGUUAUGAUUGACAACCCGAUGGCGAAGAACAGGAAGAAGGGGAUGGUGGGUAAUGAGGUGGUAAAAACCAUCAUAAGAAGCAGCAUUAAAGAGCAUGACAGCCAAAUGCAGCCGAUGCAGGUGUUUCUGACAUUGAUGCCCUUCUCUGAUUUCAUUUUCAGGUAGGUGACCGGGUGGAUGACCGCCAGGUACUGCUCCACACAGGUGAGGCACUGAAAAAACAGCCGCCCAAGACAAACCACAAACAAAAUAUACACCCCCGCUUUCAUCAUGUAUUGCUUUUGGGCGAAGUUGCCGUGACAGUAAAACACGCUUCCAAGCAAACCGAUG